GGCGAUCGAACUAAAAAUGUUGGUGUUCUGGAUGCUGAGUACAUAAUCCAUUAUGGUCGCCCUACAUUGGGAGGCUCAGAAGAAAAUGAGGUGAGGAGAGAAUCGUACAACGAAAUGAAGGUGUUCAAAAGGAAAUGGGAACGAGCUGUCAAGGAUGAGCAUAUGGAUCUGAGCAGGAGGCACUUGAGCAUCGACCUCAAAUAGUGGGAGAGGAUGAUUGGAACUAUCUACUUCAAUUAUGGCAAAAAGAUGAGUGGAAGGUCUGAUGGAUAAAGGGCAGAAGACAAUCUACUAGUGAUGAAUCUUAUGUUAUUUGUUUUUGGGAAUCACUUGACAUUUAGGUUGAACUUAAAUAUGUAGCAUUUUGUUUUUGAGACAUCUUGUGAAUUUGUUGGAAGAAUGUUAGAUAUAUGGAUUGCUUUUGAAUGCAAUGAAUUAUUUUAUGCUA
Prunus avium (sweet cherry) is the source of this 448-nucleotide non-coding RNA. The record is from RefSeq and is a predicted model, not a curated record. NCBI's taxonomy places the organism in Eukaryota, Viridiplantae, Streptophyta, Magnoliopsida, Rosales, Rosaceae.